CCUGAUCCGCAACGCCGCGUGAGGGAUGACGGCCUUCGGGUUGUAAACCUCUUUCAGUACCGACGAAGCGCACGUGACGGUGAGAACAGAAGAAGCACCGGUCCACUACGUGCCACCAGCCGAGGCAAUGGGUACGGUGCUAGCGUUGAAUGGAAUUAUUGGACGUAAAGGGCUGGUAGGCGGUUUGUCGGGUGUGAAGUGAAAACUCUGAGCUUAACUCCUACCUUGCUUUCUGUACGGCCAGACUUCAGGUAUGGAGGGGAGAACGGCAUUCCUGGUGUAGAGGUGAAAUGCUCAUAUAUAAAGAGGAACACCGGUGGGCAAGGCUGUUCUCUGGGCCUGACCUGACGCUGAGGAACCAAGGGGUGGGGAGCGAACUGGAUUACAUGCCCUGGCAGUCCACACCGUAUACGUUGGGCGCUAGGGGUGGGACUCAUUCCACGGGUUCCGCGC
RNAcentral lists this ribosomal RNA (453 nucleotides) under uncultured soil bacterium. RNAcentral describes it as "bacterial SSU rRNA". It matches the Rfam family "Bacterial small subunit ribosomal RNA", at positions 382 to 846 of the family's 1533-position model. The record is from RNAcentral.